Molecule: long non-coding RNA, 550 nt
Organism: Metopolophium dirhodum (rose-grain aphid)
Lineage: Eukaryota; Metazoa; Arthropoda; Insecta; Hemiptera; Aphididae
Exons: 2
Source: RefSeq, a predicted model, not a curated record
AUACAAUUAAUAUUAUCGUUAAAAGUACUUGGUAGUUUAAAGAUAAUGAAAAGGAGGGGUCAGAAUUGACAAGAAACAUACAGAGUCGAAAUGGUUAAAAACCAUAAUUAGUGAAGGAGGUUGGCAAAUUAAAAGUGGUAUGCUGACGAGUGAAGUAAGGAGGGACAUUUAUAGGAAUAAGCAAACAAUAUUCCGUGGAAGUUUUAGACUGUCCGAUAUUCGUCAAAGCAAAAAACAUCUUCAACCAACUUUCAGCGAUGGAGGAAACACUAGGAGAACACAACAACACACAUUUGAUUCAUAUAGUUUCUUCUAAUUCAUCGGCAUCGACAAAAAAAUUUAAUAUUCAGAUAAAACUAUACAACUAACAAAAACAAAAUGAAAAUAUAUAAAACUGUAAAAACCACUUAUCCCUUAGCCAUGUAAUCACCAAUCAUAACUAAAUUAUCCAUUAAUAAUAAUGUUAACACAACCACAGGCUAAUGAUCUAUAGUUGUUGAAGCUUUUAUUCUUAAUAAAAAAAAAUAAAAAAAUAUUCCGUGAACUUGAA